CAGUAGCCACGGUAAUGCGGAGGGAGCUAGCGUUAUUCGGAAUUACUGGGCGUAAAGCGCACGUAGGCGGCUUUGUAAGUUAGAGGUGAAAGCCUGGAGCUCAACUCCAGAAUUGCCUUUAAGACUGCAUCGCUUGAAUCCAGGAGAGGUGAGUGGAAUUCCGAGUGUAGAGGUGAAAUUCGUAGAUAUUCGGAAGAACACCAGUGGCGAAGGCGGCUCACUGGACUGGUAUUGACGCUGAGGUGCGAAAGCGUGGGGAGCAAACAGGAUUAGAUACCCCAGUAGUCCCUGUCUCUUAUAC
Molecule: ribosomal RNA, 301 nt
Filed under: uncultured bacterium
Lineage: Bacteria
Description: partial 16S ribosomal RNA
Rfam family: Bacterial small subunit ribosomal RNA
Source: RNAcentral